RNAcentral lists this ribosomal RNA (326 nucleotides) under uncultured Thiobacillus sp. Its description in RNAcentral is "bacterial SSU rRNA". It matches the Rfam family "Bacterial small subunit ribosomal RNA", at positions 1051 to 1382 of the family's 1533-position model. Lineage: Bacteria; Pseudomonadati; Pseudomonadota; Betaproteobacteria; Nitrosomonadales; Thiobacillaceae. The record is from RNAcentral.
GUCGUCAGCUCGUGUCGUGAGAUGGUUAGGGUUAAGUCCGCAACGAGCGCAACCCUUAUCAUUAGUUGCUACGCAAGGGCACUCUAAUGAGACUGCCGGUGACAAACCGGAGGAAGGUGGGGAUGACGUCAAGUCCUCAUGGCCCUUAUGGGUAGGACUUCACACGUCAUACAAUGGUCGGUACAGAGGGUUGCCAAGCCGCGAGGCGGAGCCAAUCCCACAAAGCCGAUCGUAGUCCGGAUUGUUCUCUGCAACUCGAGAGCAUGAAGUCGGAAUCGCUAGUAAUCGCAGGUCAGCAUACUGCGGUGAAUACGUUCCCGGGUCUU